RNAcentral lists this ribosomal RNA (465 nucleotides) under uncultured bacterium. RNAcentral describes it as "partial 16S ribosomal RNA". It matches the Rfam family "Bacterial small subunit ribosomal RNA", at positions 28 to 507 of the family's 1533-position model. The record is from RNAcentral.
GACGAACGCUGGCGGCGUGCUUAACACAUGCAAGUCGAACGGAAAGGCCCUGCUUGCAGGGUACUCGAGUGGCGAACGGGUGAGUAACACGUGGGUGAUCUGCCCUGCACUUCGGGAUAAGCCUGGGAAACUGGGUCUAAUACCGGAUAUGACCUUCCAUGUAGUGUGGGGGGUGGAAAGAUUUAUCGGUGUGGGAUGAGCCCGCGGCCUAUCAGCUUGUUGGUGGGGUAAUGGCCUACCAAGGCGUCGACGGGUGGCCGGCCUGAGAGGGUGGACGGCCACAUUGGGACUGAGAUACGGCCCAGACUCCUACGGGAGGCAGCAGUGGGGAAUAUUGCACAAUGGGCGGAAGCCUUAUGCAGCGACGCCGCGUGGGGGAUGACGGCCUUCGGGUUGUAAACCUCUUUCGACAGGGACGAAGCUUCGGUGACGGUACCUGUAGAAGAAGCACCGGCUAACUACGUG